This 253-nucleotide ribosomal RNA is filed under the name uncultured bacterium. Its description in RNAcentral is "partial 16S ribosomal RNA". It matches the Rfam family "Bacterial small subunit ribosomal RNA", at positions 524 to 776 of the family's 1533-position model. The record is from RNAcentral.
GACGAACCGUGCGAACGUUGUGCGGAUUCACUGGGCUUAAAGGGCGCGUAGGCGGCUUGCUAAGUCAGGGGUGAAAUCUUUCGGCUCAACCGGAAAAGUGCUUCUGAUACUGGCGGGCUGGAGGAGGGUAGGGGCAGGUGGAACUUCCGGUGGAGCGGUGAAAUGCGUAGAUAUCGGAAGGAACGCCGGUGGCGAAAGCGACCUGCUGGACCCUCCCUGACGCUGAGGCGCGAAAGCCAGGGGAGCGAACAGG